This 529-nucleotide ribosomal RNA is filed under the name uncultured bacterium. Its description in RNAcentral is "partial 16S ribosomal RNA". It matches the Rfam family "Bacterial small subunit ribosomal RNA", at positions 587 to 1116 of the family's 1533-position model. The record is from RNAcentral.
GUGGUGUAUGAAAUCUCCCGGCUUAACCGGGAAGGGUUAUGCCAGACUGGACUUCUAGAGUGCGAGAGAGGGACGUGGAAUUCCGGGUGUAGUGGUGAAAUGCGUAGAGAUCCGGAGGAACCCCAGAGGCGAAGGCGGCCUCCUGGCUCGCUGCUGACGCUCAGACACCACAGCAUGGGGAGCGAACGGGAUUAGAUACCCCGGUAGUCCAUGCCGUANACGAUGCGAACUAGGCGCUGUGGGACUCCGCCCCCGCGGGGCCCCACCUAACGCGUUAAGUUGGCCGCCCGGGGAGUACGGCCGCCAGGCUAAAACUCCAAGGAAUUGACGGGGGCCCCCCCCAGCCGCGGAACGUGGGGUUUAAUUCCAGGCUACCCCAAAAACCCUACCUGGGUCUGACCUGCCUGUGAACGACGGUGAAAGCCUGAGGUUCGCCAGACGCACGCACACGUGCUGCAUGGCUGUCGUCCGCUCGUGCCGGGAGGUGUAAGGUUAAGUCCUGUAACGAGCGCGACCCCCGGGUCCUGUU